AGAAUUCUGAGGUGUACGCGAUGCCUACAAACAGUGUUGACCGAACAUUUUAUUAAAACAUUGGGAUUCUAAAGGAGAAAUUGCUGACAUGCCUUAUCAUUUGGAAGUCAAAUAUUUUUCUGGUGAAGCCCACCUGCUAAUAGCGGGUUCAACCUAAUAUGGCAUUCAACCGGCACCAUCGGAUUUCUU
RNAcentral lists this non-coding RNA (189 nucleotides) under Alkalibacterium sp. 20. RNAcentral describes it as "6S / SsrS RNA". It matches the Rfam family "6S / SsrS RNA". From Rfam's summary of the family: E. coli 6S RNA was the first non coding RNA to be sequenced, but its function was unknown until recently. It consists of 184 nucleotides that fold into an extended hairpin structure with a large single-stranded internal bulge. The record is from Rfam by way of RNAcentral. Lineage: Bacteria; Bacillati; Bacillota; Bacilli; Lactobacillales; Carnobacteriaceae.